Molecule: ribosomal RNA, 492 nt
Filed under: uncultured bacterium
Lineage: Bacteria
Description: partial 16S ribosomal RNA
Rfam family: Bacterial small subunit ribosomal RNA
Source: RNAcentral
AGUGAACGCUGGCGGUAUGCCUAACACAUGCAAGUCGAACGGCAGCACAGUAAGAGCUUGCUCUUGCGGGUGGCGAGUGGCGGACGGGUGAGGAAUACAUCGGAUUCUACUUUUUCGUGGGGGAUAACGGAGGGAAACUGACGCUAAUACCGCAUAUUACCUACGGGUGAAAGCAGGAGAUCUUCGGACCUUGCGCGAUUGAAUUAGCCGAUGUCGGAUUAGCUAGUUGGCGGGGUAAAGGCACACCAAGGCGACGAUGCGUAGCUGAUCUGAGAGGAUGAUCAGCCACACUGGAACUGAGACACGGUCCAGACUCCUACGGGAGGCAGCAGUGGGGAAUCUUGCGCAAUGGGCGAAAGCCUGAUGCAGCAAUACCGCGUGAGUGAUGAAGGCCUUCGGGUUGUAAAGCUCUGUUGUUGGGAAAGAACAGAAGCAUGUUUAUCCGCGGCUGUCCUGACGGUACCCAAAGAAUAAGCCCCGGCUAACUUCGUG